Molecule: small RNA, 123 nt
Filed under: Marmota monax (woodchuck)
Lineage: Eukaryota; Metazoa; Chordata; Mammalia; Rodentia; Sciuridae
Source: RNAcentral
GCCAGGCACAGUGGUGCAUGCCUAUAAUCCCAGCAGCUCAGGAGGCUGAGGCAGGAGGAUUGAGAGUUCAAAGCCAGCCUCAGCAAAAGUGGGGUGCUAAGCAACAGUGAGACCCUGUCUCUA